UACGUAGGGGGCUAGCGUUGUCCGGAUUUAUUGGGCGUAAAGAGCGUGUAGGCGGCCCGGUAAGUCCGCUGUGAAAGUCCAGGGCUCAACCCUGGGAUGCCGGUGGAUACUGUCGGGCUCGAGUCCGGAAGAGGAGUGUGGAAUUCCUGGUGUAGCGGUGAAAUGCGCAGAUAUCAGGAAGAACACCUAUGGCGAAAGCAGCUCUCUGGGACGGUACUGACGCUGAGACGCGAAAGCGUGGGGAGCGAACAGG
Molecule: ribosomal RNA, 253 nt
Filed under: uncultured bacterium
Lineage: Bacteria
Description: partial 16S ribosomal RNA
Rfam family: Bacterial small subunit ribosomal RNA
Source: RNAcentral